UACGGAGGGUGCAAGCGUUAUCCGGAUUCACUGGGUUUAAAGCGUGCGUAGACGGUUUCGUAAGUCGGGUGUGAAAGCCCCGGGCUCAACCUGGGAAUUGCAUUCGAGACUGCGUAGCUAGGGUGCGGAAGAGGGAAGCGGAAUUUCCGGUGUAGCGGUGGAAUGCGUAGAUAUCGGAAGGAACAUCAGUGGCGAAAGCGGCUUCCUGGUCCAGCACCGACGUUCAGGCACGAAAGCGUGGGGAGCAAACAGG
This 253-nucleotide ribosomal RNA is filed under the name uncultured bacterium. RNAcentral's name for it is "partial 16S ribosomal RNA". It matches the Rfam family "Bacterial small subunit ribosomal RNA", at positions 524 to 776 of the family's 1533-position model. The record is from RNAcentral.